GCUUACGGCCAUACCUCUCUGGCUCCGCCUGAUCUCGUCUGAUCUCAGAAGCUAAGCAGAGUAAGGCCUGGUUAGUACUUGGAUGGAAGACCGCCUGGGAA
Gasterosteus aculeatus aculeatus (three-spined stickleback) is the source of this 101-nucleotide ribosomal RNA. Lineage: Eukaryota; Metazoa; Chordata; Actinopteri; Perciformes; Gasterosteidae. The record is from Ensembl.